CAGUCGCCGCGGUAAUACGAAGGGUGCAAGCGUUACUCGGAAUUACUGGGCGUAAAGCGUGCGUAGGUGGUGGUUUAAGUCCGUUGUGAAAGCCCUGGGCUCAACCUGGGAAUUGCAGUGGAUACUGGGUCACUAGAGUGUGGUAGAGGAUAGUGGAAUUUCCGGUGUAGCAGUGAAAUGCGUAGAGAUCGGAAGGAACAUCUGUGGCGAAGGCGGCUAACUGGUCCAUAACUGACGCUGAGGUGCGAAAGCGUGGGGAGCAAACAGGAUUAGAUACCCCCGUAGUCCCUGUCUCUUAUAC
This 301-nucleotide ribosomal RNA is filed under the name uncultured bacterium. RNAcentral describes it as "partial 16S ribosomal RNA". It matches the Rfam family "Bacterial small subunit ribosomal RNA", at positions 509 to 807 of the family's 1533-position model. The record is from RNAcentral.